Macadamia integrifolia is the source of this 700-nucleotide long non-coding RNA. RefSeq lists it as uncharacterized. Lineage: Eukaryota; Viridiplantae; Streptophyta; Magnoliopsida; Proteales; Proteaceae. The record is from RefSeq and is a predicted model, not a curated record. The transcript has 4 exons.
GCCACUAACAUUGGCGGAUUUAGGGGUGGUUUUUUUAUCCAGAUCUAAAAAGUCUGAAUUAGGAGCGGUUUUUAUUAACUCGCCCCAAAAAAGUUUGUACUAGCGGCGGUUUUAUUUCUGACCGCUAAGUAGUCCAAACCCUAACCAUCUCCUCCACUUUCCUAACCAUCUCUUCAACUGAACCUGGAAGCCCAAUCUGUUAGCGUCUCCAAUCAGCAGCCGACGGGUACCAUCAUGACUCCAUCAAACUCCUUGCAACAGCGGCCAAUGAUUUCUCCUAUGUUUGCUCUCUCUCAAGACUCGACUCCCGCAGGCUCUCCUUGGCUCGACUGAGAAGCAGAAAGAGGAAGUAACUAAUGGAGAAUUCAGCUUCUAUAUGAAUUUUAUACAUUUUCUACUAUUGGGUUAGAUGUUGUCAAGGUGGGUUUGUUGGUUUGGUUAGUGUUGACAUCAUUGUGGUGAGUUGUGCUUCUUCUAAGGAUUUAUGACGUAGACAACUAGGGCAUCAUUUCACAUGAUAGGGAAAAUGUGUCUUACUACUUUUGAGUAUAAUGGUUUCACUAUUUUUGUAAUGUUUUCAAUUUCUUUUGCUAAGGCUUCGAGAAUUGAGUCUAUAGAACAAUAUUUUGAAAUGAUCCACAAUCAUUUUCUUUUUUGUCAAGACUUGUUUAAUCAUCUCAAUAAUUUCCUCUUUUGUCAA